Molecule: long non-coding RNA, 899 nt
Filed under: Anser cygnoides (Swan goose)
Lineage: Eukaryota; Metazoa; Chordata; Aves; Anseriformes; Anatidae
Description: lncRNA (ENSACDG00005002417.1)
Source: RNAcentral
GGAGGAACGGGCUAUCGCCGAAGGCUUUCCGUGCACAACUCCCGGCCACCUUUCUCUGCAGCCGAGUCCUGCAGCACAAUAAGCGAUCGCUGCAGAACACGGCACCGAGAGCUCUCCAAGGACCGCCACGUGCACGCUUUGCUGCUGGGCGGUUGCCUGCAGAGGCACCAGGCUGCGAGGCUUGGCGGAGGAGGAGCGUGCCCUGCCACCCUUAACAGGGACUGUGUGUUCGUCCUGCCCGCGGUGGCUGUUCCUGGAAGACAGGGGUGGGUGCGUGGGGCUGACCUUCGCCCCGCGUCCUGCUGCUGCCGCUCCCCUGUCCCUGGCAAGGUUGUGCGUGGGUGGUUGGAGCCAGGAAGCACGGGGGAAAUAAUAGGUGUAAACGUGCUCAGAGUGGGGGACGGGGAGAAAAGUAAAAGAGCGCUCCACAGGAUUCAGAAUUAGACCACCCACCUGGUAAGGGGCACGGCAUAAGAAGCAACCCCCAGGAAAACAGCGUUGGAGGAUCUGGAGCUCAGGACAUCUCAGAGCUUCUUCCUGCUGCUGUGCGGCUGGCCGAGAGCACAUCUCCCUUGAUUCCAGAACGUACAAGGUAAGAAAUGAGGUUUCUUCUCAUUAAUACAAUUGAAGCCCUGCCGAUGAUCGUUGGGGGAUGCUUGCUAAUUUUCUGUUAUUGUGUAGCUGAUUUUCAGUAUCUGUCAUCCUGAUGGAUGAUGAUGAUACAGUCUUCAAAAUACCCCAACAAAAGCAAGGCUGCUCACUAUUUACCAAGCUGACUUCCUCGCCUCACUGCAUAGCUAUAAACAAGGCUCUGGCUGUUGUGGUAACCCUUGACCUCAACUUCCUAUGCUUUUCCACACACUAAUAAACUCUUAUCUGAGACAGAGGAACGUUGAAAA